UGGCUCAAGGGAGUGGGGGAAGGGACCCUGCAAGUAUCUGAAGCUACGCCGGACACCUCCAGGCUAGGAGGCCAUGGCUCGAAGGACAGGCAGGAGGUCCCCCAGGCUAUCCGUCGCCUCUUUUUUCCCCAUUCUUCUUUCUUGAUGGAUUUCCCUUGUAAGGUGACAGAAAUCACAAAGCUAUUUUUAGCAGUGACAGAAGAAUGCCUCCUAGGAAAUCCCCUUGUUUGGAAAGAUCAUUCAUUAAGCGCUUGAGGUAGAAGGUGACACCCCCAAAGGGUGGGGGUGAGCGCACUGGAGACCCUGGGAAAGCCUGCUGUCAGUCUUUUCUCUGUCCCGUCACAAGUCCCACCGCUGUGGGGGAGGAUGGGGCCCCUAGAGCAAGACCCAGCUCCAGCACGUUCCAUGUUUGGGCUGAUCUGCACAGAUUCCGGGCAGCAAGCUGCAUGUGCCACGUGGAGCCCAGCUUGGGGAUUCAGGUCACCACCCGGAGAUCAAGACCUGAACUGAGAUUAAGAGUCACCGUCUUCCAGAUUAAGAGCCACCCAGGCACCCCCUAAACAAUGUAUUUUCAGACUCCCAACAACAUUGUAUUUGGGGAUAAGGAGCAACUGGAAAACAAAGCUGUUAAAUCCGAAAUUCUUUGGAAAAAUACACGUCAGAAUAAGCAAGAAACACAGAAGACGAUGGGACUUGGCUUGCCCUAACAGAUAUUAACACAUACAAUGAUUCAAUAAGAUCCCGAGCAAAAGAAUAAAUACAUCAAUGCAAAAGAAUGAGAAAACCUAAUAUUGUCUAAAUAAAAUUUCCUAUAUGCUAAA
This is a long non-coding RNA of Mustela lutreola (European mink), 821 nucleotides long. RefSeq lists it as uncharacterized. The record is from RefSeq and is a predicted model, not a curated record. Lineage: Eukaryota; Metazoa; Chordata; Mammalia; Carnivora; Mustelidae. The transcript is spliced from 2 exons.